This 279-nucleotide ribosomal RNA is filed under the name uncultured bacterium. RNAcentral's name for it is "partial 16S ribosomal RNA". It matches the Rfam family "Bacterial small subunit ribosomal RNA", at positions 506 to 784 of the family's 1533-position model. The record is from RNAcentral.
UGCCAGCAGCCGCGGUAACACGAACCGUCCAAACGUUAUUCGGUAUCACUGGGCUUAAAGCGUGCGUAGGCGGCUUGGUAGGUGAGAUGUGAAAGCCCACGGCUCAACCGUGGAAUUGCGUUUCAAACCCCCAAGCUUGAGGAAGACAGGGGUGUUGGGAACUUAUGGUGGAGCGGUGAAAUGCGUUGAUAUCAUAGGGAACACCGGUGGCGAAGGCGCAACACUGGGUCUUUUCUGACGCUGAGAUGCGAAAGCGUGGGGAGCAAACAGGAUUAGAUA